UGUUGUGUGUGGCUAAUGGAGAUUAUAGUCGUCAUUUGGGAACGACAUCGCGCCGUCGCUGCUCUGGCUCGCCGGAUAAAGGAGAGAAGGAUCUCAUUGUGCCUUCGUAGGAGAACAUGCUGGGGUGACCCAGUAAGCAACCAAAUAGGCCAACAAAGGCAGCCAUUGCUAAAAAUACCGAGCCUGGUCAACUGGUCGGAUAAGGGAGAGAGAGCGACGAGGAGCAAUUCCAGCCACGUCUCAACUCUCAAUCCCUAAUCUUGUGAUCGACAGGCAGAGACACCCACGGCUGGCUGACCGCAUCACCGGCAGAGAGAUGUGCUCCUGCCGCACUCGUUCUUAUUGGAAGAAUCUUCAAACAGGAGUGUACUAGGCGCAAGGUCGUUGGAGGAUGCGGGCGCCGCGCACCGUCCGUAUCUCGCUGGUGCUAGAGGGAGUCGGUGCCAACCGCCGCAGUGGGGCAUGGCAACAGGUUGGGCGCCGCCGGGACAUGAGCGUCCAUGGUCGUCGCUUCCGUCGGCCACCCGGAGCGCGAACACACAAGGGCCGAGGCAGGCGCAGCCGCCGCUUGAUGCUUAGGUGGCCGUGUCGCACGGGCCGCAGGAUGUCGCACUAGUGGAGCCAUUACGUCAUGGAAGAAAGCCGAACCAGUCACUGAUGCGUCAAAGGCUCGAUGCCUCCGUGCGCUGCAACUACAAGGGCUAAAGUUCGUCGGAGUCGAGCACCUAAGGGCCCGCCACUGUUUACGAUGCCGGAGGCCAGGCCAUCGCUCCAGUCCAGCGGGGCCGACGCCAGACGAAGCCGAUGGCGUCGUCGUUCACAUUCUCUAUUAUUCCAGAUAGAUGGACGCAAGUGCCCCUGUUCUUCAUUCAUGGAGCGAGGCUGUGGCUUGGAUGCUUUUCCGCCGGGGCAAUGGCCGCGUGUGCCGAUAACCUGUUAGAGUAAAACAAGAUUGAAUGAAAUUGAAUGGACGAUUAGUCCUGUUUCUA
This is a long non-coding RNA of Hordeum vulgare subsp. vulgare (domesticated barley), 989 nucleotides long. RefSeq lists it as uncharacterized. The transcript is spliced from 2 exons. The record is from RefSeq and is a predicted model, not a curated record. NCBI's taxonomy places the organism in Eukaryota, Viridiplantae, Streptophyta, Magnoliopsida, Poales, Poaceae.